RNAcentral lists this long non-coding RNA (654 nucleotides) under Vigna radiata. RNAcentral's name for it is "long non-coding RNA (VRAD_LNC012284)". Lineage: Eukaryota; Viridiplantae; Streptophyta; Magnoliopsida; Fabales; Fabaceae. The record is from RNAcentral.
CUCCCACCACCACGUUCUCCCGUUCUGCUCGCAGAGCCGCUAUCUCCGCUCUCAUCUCCUGCAUCUGCCUCUGCAUCUCCUGCAGGACCUGCAACUGUAGCUGCUCAGCCAUUGUGUUCGUUUCUGGGUAAAUCACGAUUUCGGGCCCCACGGUGGGCGCCAAAUGUUUUGGUAUUUAGAGCCCGAGACCGAACCAGCUCCUUGACCCUGUCCCGAUCGCCCAACCCGGUCGUCUUCCAGAUGCCUUUAUGAAUCACCCGGGAUGUCCUGCAAUAAGAACACUCCGACGCCCAAGUCAGUGGAUCAGUUAACGGGAUCAACUUUUUGGAUUAGAUUCGAGAUUACUUUACCUGUCCUGCUGUUCCUAUUUAUAGACGAUGCAUNCAUAACUGACCAUUAAUUUCAUUGAUUCGCUAUGCCUUCCGUUACAUCUUCAUCAAAACCUUUUAAUGCCUUCUCGACCCCACAUCUACUUAAUCCAUACCGUCCGGUAUUUAGGCCACCAUUGCGUCUUGUGGCUUUGGCAACCCGGUCGGUUCUAGGCUGACUCUGCGUUCUUGAUCCGGUCGACCCAGCCGACCCUUCCCCACUACAAAAUCCAAUGAAGCACUUCAUUUGACGGAAAAGGUUAUAAAUUGGAACACUGAACAAGCU